RNAcentral lists this ribosomal RNA (460 nucleotides) under uncultured bacterium. RNAcentral's name for it is "partial 16S ribosomal RNA". It matches the Rfam family "Bacterial small subunit ribosomal RNA", at positions 338 to 795 of the family's 1533-position model. The record is from RNAcentral.
CCUACGGGUGGCAGCAGUGAGGAAUAUUGGUCAAUGGGCGCGAGCCUGAACCAGCCAAGUCGCGUGAGGGAAGACGGCCCUACGGGUUGUAAACCUCUUUUGCCGGGGAGCAACGGGCGCCACGUGUGGCGCCACUGAGAGUACCCGGAGAAAAAGCAUCGGCUAACUCCGUGCCAGCGGCCGCGGUAAUACGGGGGAUGCGAGCGUUAUCCGGUUUUAUUGGUUUAAAGGGGUGCGUAGGCGGAGCGUUAAGUCAGUGGUAAAAUUGAGGGGCUAAACCCCUUCCCGCCAUUGAAACUGGCGCUCUUGAGUGGAAGAGAAGUAUGCGGAAUGCGUAGUGUAGCGGUGAAAUGCAUAGAUAUCACGCAGAACCCCGAUUGCGAAGGCAGCAUGCCGGCUUCCGACUGACGCUGAAGCACGAAAGCGUGGGGAUCGAACAGGAUUAGAUACCCGAGUAGUC